This 1372-nucleotide ribosomal RNA is filed under the name uncultured bacterium. RNAcentral describes it as "bacterial SSU rRNA". It matches the Rfam family "Bacterial small subunit ribosomal RNA", at positions 28 to 1381 of the family's 1533-position model. The record is from RNAcentral.
GAUGAACGCUGGCGGCGUGCCUAGUACAUGCAAGUCGAGCGAACGGACGAGAAGCUUGCUUCUCUGAUGUUAGCGGCGGACGGGUGAGUAACACGUGGAUAACCUACCUAUAAGACUGGGAUAACUUCGGGAAACCGGAGCUAAUACCGGAUAAUAUUUUGAACCGCAUGGUUCAAAAGUGAAAGACGGUCUUGCUGUCACUUAUAGAUGGAUCCGCGCUGCAUUAGCUAGUUGGUAAGGUAACGGCUUACCAAGGCAACGAUGCAUAGCCGACCUGAGAGGGUGAUCGGCCACACUGGAACUGAGACACGGUCCAGACUCCUACGGGAGGCAGCAGUAGGGAAUCUUCCGCAAUGGGCGAAAGCCUGACGGAGCAACGCCGCGUGAGUGAUGAAGGUCUUCGGAUCGUAAAACUCUGUUAUUAGGGAAGAACAUAUGUGUAAGUAACUGUGCACAUCUUGACGGUACCUAAUCAGAAAGCCACGGCUAACUACGUGCCAGCAGCCGCGGUAAUACGUAGGUGGCAAGCGUUAUCCGGAAUUAUUGGGCGUAAAGCGCGCGUAGGCGGUUUUUUAAGUCUGAUGUGAAAGCCCACGGCUCAACCGUGGAGGGUCAUUGGAAACUGGAAAACUUGAGUGCAGAAGAGGAAAGUGGAAUUCCAUGUGUAGCGGUGAAAUGCGCAGAGAUAUGGAGGAACACCAGUGGCGAAGGCGACUUUCUGGUCUGUAACUGACGCUGAUGUGCGAAAGCGUGGGGAUCAAACAGGAUUAGAUACCCUGGUAGUCCACGCCGUAAACGAUGAGUGCUAAGUGUUAGGGGGUUUCCGCCCCUUAGUGCUGCAGCUAACGCAUUAAGCACUCCGCCUGGGGAGUACGACCGCAAGGUUGAAACUCAAAGGAAUUGACGGGGACCCGCACAAGCGGUGGAGCAUGUGGUUUAAUUCGAAGCAACGCGAAGAACCUUACCAAAUCUUGACAUCCUUUGACAACUCUAGAGAUAGAGCUUUCCCCUUCGGGGGACAAAGUGACAGGUGGUGCAUGGUUGUCGUCAGCUCGUGUCGUGAGAUGUUGGGUUAAGUCCCGCAACGAGCGCAACCCUUAAGCUUAGUUGCCAUCAUUAAGUUGGGCACUCUAAGUUGACUGCCGGUGACAAACCGGAGGAAGGUGGGGAUGACGUCAAAUCAUCAUGCCCCUUAUGAUUUGGGCUACACACGUGCUACAAUGGACAAUACAAAGGGCAGCGAAACCGUGAGGUCAAGCAAAUCCCAUAAAGUUGUUCUCAGUUCGGAUUGUAGUCUGCAACUCGACUACAUGAAGCUGGAAUCGCUAGUAAUCGUAGAUCAGCAUGCUACGGUGAAUACGUUCCCGGGUCU